CUGAGGAUCCCAGACACCCAGGGAUCUCAGAUCCCUGAGGAUCCCAGACACCCAGGGAUCUCAGAUCCCUGAGGAUCCCAGACACCCAGCUUUAAGUAUAAGGAACUAGUAGUAGGUUUAUUCCAUGCUAAAAAGAGAAGAGAUAAAACACAACAUUUCGGCUGUGAAUAAACCUAUUACUUGCAGAAUACGCAUGCCGACGCAGCUGCCCACCUGAACUGGUUUAAAUAUAAGGGCCCAUUUCAUUCCCCGCUGAAGUGCUGCUCCUCUUGGGGGGCCCAGCAGCCCUGCUGCCCAGCAGAUCAGGGGGAGGGGUGAGAAACUGCAGCGCCAAUUGAAUCAAGGGGGGGGGGGGACAAAGCGUGCAAGCGCCACCUACUGGUCCACCAGCACCACUUCCCGUAAUAAUUGAGCUUUCCUCAGUAGUUUCUCAUCCCAGGUCAGGCUCACGUUUUCCUUAGCUCCUGAUCAGACUGCAAGCUAGGAGCACUGGACUUCACAGGUAUGAGAACGUAAGACAGGCUACAAAGCGGCUUAGUCUGAGUGCUGUCAUCAUGCAGCCUUUCUCGAGAUCUAGGAAAUUAUUUGGGCAAAUUAGAGAAAAAAGUGCAGGAAAAUGAGCCCCAGACCUGUGAAGUCUCGGCAGGGGAAUAUGUCCUCGUGAUCUGUGUUGUCCAGAUGGUGGUGAGUAACAUCCUAGUAUAGACAAGCACCUCAAUCCCUGACACCCCAGCAGCUCCUCCCCCACCUCCCCAGACAAGAAGAGGAAAUCGGCUCACGGGUUUUCAAAAGUCGCCCGGUUCACACCACUGUUCGGCCAGCCUGAAACCCAGACAUCUCCCUUUCCUGCUCCCAGAUCAGUGUGCUGCAGUCAGAGCUGGAGACCCUGUCGACCCAGACAGCCUCCCUCAGAGAAGAGACGCGCUUGCUGAGGGAGCAGAUCCAGGACGUCAGGAAACAGCAUCGGGACAUAGUUUCAGUGUACAGGACUCACCUGCUGAGCGCAGCACAGGGAAUGAUGGACGAGGAGGUCUACUCCAUGCUUCUGUGCAUCCAUGGCAUGCAGAGAGAGGCUGUGUGCUGAGAGACUGACACCAUCCCCACUCCCACAAUGCACUCCUCCAAGUCAGAGCCCACACUUCCCCUUGACCAAUAAGGACUGUGGAAGACAGCAGACGUGCAUGGAGAGGGUACUGUGAUUGAUGGACACUGUGGUCUAAGACAGCAGCAUAUGAAGGCACCCAGAUCCCUGUAUAUGAAGCAGUCCUGACUGAUCACUGUUACCAUGUUUUUCUCCAUAUCAAACUGAAGCCUGUUCACUGUUGUCUCUGGUUUCUCCUUACACUGUGACAUAACCACAAAAAGUGCUGAAAUGUUUGUUCUUCAGAUUAAAUGUCUCA
Molecule: non-coding RNA, 1400 nt
Organism: Lepisosteus oculatus (spotted gar)
Lineage: Eukaryota; Metazoa; Chordata; Actinopteri; Semionotiformes; Lepisosteidae
Source: RefSeq, a predicted model, not a curated record